RNAcentral lists this ribosomal RNA (1439 nucleotides) under metagenome. RNAcentral's name for it is "bacterial SSU rRNA". It matches the Rfam family "Archaeal small subunit ribosomal RNA". The record is from RNAcentral.
UCCGUUUGAUCCUGACGGAGCCUACUGCUAUCGGAUUUGGAUUAAGUCAUGCAAGUCAAAGCAACUUGUUCGCUUGGCGAACUGCUCCGUAACGCGUAGAUAAUCUAACCUAUGGUAGGGAAUAAUCGCGGGAAACUGCGCGUAAUCCCCUAUAGGUGCAAUGUCCUGGAAUGGCUUUGCACAUAAAGCUUCGGCGCCAUGGGAUGAGUCUGCGUCCGAUUAUGCUUGUUGGCGGUGUCUUGGACCACCAAGGCGACGAUCGGUCCGGGCCGUGAGAGCGGUAGCCCGGAGAUGGCCACUGAGACAACGGGCCAGGCCCUAUGGGGUGCAGCAGGCGCGAAAACUGGCCAAUGCGCGAAAGCGUGAGCCGGCUAAUCCGAGUGAUAUCCCAUCGGAUAUCUUUUGUCAAGUGUAUCAAGCUUGGCGAAUAAUGAGAGGACAAGACUGGUGCCAGCCGCCGCGGUAAAACCAGCUCUUAGAGUGGUAGGCGUGUUUACUUGGCUUAAAGUGUGCGUAGCAGGACAGUGCAAGUCCUCCGUGAAAUGCUAGGUCUUAAGCUUAGCGCGCGCGGGGGAUACUGUGCGUCUUGGGACCGGGAUAGGUAUGAGGUAUGCAUCGGGUAGGGGUGAAAUCCGAUAAUCCAAUGCAGACCACCGGUGGCGAAGGCGUCAUACUGGAACGGGUCCGACUGUGAGGCACGAAAGCUAGGGUCGCGAGCCGGAUUAGAUACCCGGGUAGUCCUAUGCUGUAAACGAUGCUCACUAAGUGUUGGAUAAUGCAGGACAUUAUCCAGUGCCGAAGGGAAACCGUUAAGUGAGCCGCCUGGGAAGUACGUUCGCAAGAAUGAAACUUAAAGGAAUUGGCGGGGGCCUACUACAAGAAGUGGAGCCUGCGGUUUAAUUGGACCCAACUCCGGGAAGCUCACCUGGGCCGUAACGUGAAUGAUUGUCCUGCUGAAGACACUGCUUGAUGCGUUACUGGAGGUGCAUGGCCAUCGUCAGUUCGUGCCGUGAGGUGUCCUGUUAAGUCAGGCAACGAACGAGAUCCCUACCGCUAAAUGCCAGCGAGACCCCCGGGUCGUCGGGGACAUUAGCGGGACUGCUCGCGAAAAAGUGAGAGGAAGGAAGGGCCAACGGUAGGUCAGUAUGCCCCUAUAUGCCCAGGGCUACACGCGGGCUACAAUGGCGAGUACAGAGGGUUCCUACACCGAAAGGUGGCGGUAAUCUCCAAAACUCGUCUCAGUUGGGAUUGCGGGCUGUAACUCGCCCGCAUGAACUUGGAAUUUCUAGUAAGCGCGUGUCAGCAGCGCGCGCUGAAUACGUCCCUGGGCCUUGCACACACCGCCCGUCGCAGCACGCGAGACGGGCUUGCCAGAGGCUGCAGAGUAAUACUGUAUUCGAUGGUAAGCUCGUUGAGCAGGCUGAAGUCGUAACAAGGUA